This is a non-coding RNA of Oryzias latipes (Japanese medaka), 494 nucleotides long. The record is from RefSeq and is a predicted model, not a curated record. NCBI's taxonomy places the organism in Eukaryota, Metazoa, Chordata, Actinopteri, Beloniformes, Adrianichthyidae.
CAGCUCAAACGAAGCAGAGCGGGUCAGCUCAGAACAGCCGGGUUCUGGAGGGCCCCCACAGACCCGGCCUGAGACCUGCUUAGCAGGUAAACCCUGAAAGAAACCAGAGGAACCGGGCUGCAGAGACCUCUGCUUGGCUGUUCGAUUCCUUUGAACAAAUACAAACAUGACGAUUUGACAUUCUGGGUCACAGGAGCAGAAUCUUCAGCAGAACCCGUUUCACCGAUGGACGGAUCCAGAUUGCAGUGUGCUGAGAAUCUCUCCAAACAGAUGUUUGGCUUCCUGAGUGUCUGGUUCCUCAAAGUAAUCUGCAGCUGAGACCUCCACGAUGAUGGACCGCAGAUUCUUGCACACACCUGCACAGGACGGCCUGGCCGCUGACGGGCGUGUGCGUCAGGAUGAGCGUCUGCAGGCUCCUCAGGCCCGCUCUGCAGAGCGCCGUCGCCGCCUGCAGGCUGAGGUCGGGAACGCGCUCCAGCUCCAGAACCUGCAGC